GACGAACGCUGGCGGCGUGCUUAACACAUGCAAGUCGAACGGAAAGGCCCUGCUUUUGUGGGUCGCUCGAGUGGCGAACGGGUGAGUAACACGUGAGUAACCUGCCCUUGACUUUGGGAUAACUCCAGGAAACUGGGGCUAAUACCGGAUAGGAGCUCCUGAUGCAUGGUGGGGGUUGGAAAGUUUCGGCGGUUGGGGAUGGACUAGCGGCUUAUCAGCUUGUUGGUGGGGUUGUGGAUUACCAAGCUUUUGACGGGUAGCCGGCCUGAGAGGGUGACCGGCCACAUUGGGACUGAGAUACGGCCCAGACUCCUACGGGAGGCAGCAGUGGGGAAUAUUGCACAAUGGGCGGAAGCCUGAUGCAGCAACGCCGCGUGCGGGAUGACGGCCUUCGGGUUGUAAACCGCUUUCGCCUGUGACGAAGCGUGAGUGACGGUAAUGGGUAAAGAAGCACCGGCUAACUACGUG
This 468-nucleotide ribosomal RNA is filed under the name uncultured bacterium. RNAcentral's name for it is "partial 16S ribosomal RNA". It matches the Rfam family "Bacterial small subunit ribosomal RNA", at positions 28 to 507 of the family's 1533-position model. The record is from RNAcentral.